Molecule: long non-coding RNA, 579 nt
Organism: Lagenorhynchus albirostris (white-beaked dolphin)
Lineage: Eukaryota; Metazoa; Chordata; Mammalia; Artiodactyla; Delphinidae
Exons: 4
Source: RefSeq, a predicted model, not a curated record
CUGUCCCAUCAGCUAUGCCAUCUGGGAUGGGGUGAAGCCAGGACAAGACGUCAUUUUGCAAAGGAGGCAGAGCCCAUAUCAGGGUGCCUUGGCACCAGGGCAACUUUGGGCCAAGUAUUCGACCCAUCGCCCGCCUUAAUGGACCCAUGGCCCCUCCUCUACACGUGGACCAGAUCUAGUGAAUGAUGAACAGCUCACGUUUCCCAGGAUCUUUUGUCCAGCAGGUGAUUGCGCCGCAGGCUCUAGCUUGAGCACCACUGCUGUCUAGUCUGGAGCAUCUCCCUAGUUACUGGCUGGGACACAAAACCACGUUGCUAUCUGAUCUCAUCACACUUCUGCCAGGAGGUGAAAUCUAGGAGCCCACCUUCUUGAUGCCCAACGUCUUCUUCAGGUCACUUACCUGAGAACACCUGAGGAUACUGAGACAUUGUCAGGUUUGAAGGAGACUCCAGGAACUGCUGCAGCCAUCUGCCAGUCUAACAAGUAGACCAACUCAAAGCAGAGAGCAGAGGCCAAGGAAUUUCAGAAAAGCAGAACCAGGAUAUGUUGUGGAUGGACCCUAAUCUACCCCUGAACUUC